AUACCGGCUGCUCGAGUGAUGGCCACUAUUACUGGGUUUAAAGCGUCCGUAGCUUGACUGUUAGGUCUCUUGGGAAAUCUUCACGCUCAACGUGAAGGCGUCUAAGAGAUACCGGCAGUCUUGGAACUGGGAGAGGUAAACCGUACUUCGGGGGUAGGAGUGAAAUCUUGUAAUCCUCGAGGGACGACCUAUGGCGAAGGCAGUUUACCAGAACAGCUUCGACAGUGAGGGACGAAAGCUGGGGGAGCAAACGGGAUUAGAUACCCCGGUAGUCCCAGCCGUAAACAAUGUGCGUUAGGUGUGUCGGUAACCACGUGUUACUGAUGCGCCGAAGAGAAAUCGUGAAACGCACCACCUGGGAAGUACGGUCGCAAGGCUGAAACUUAAAGGAAUUGGCGGGGGAGCACCACAACAGGUGGAGCCUGCGGUUUAAUUGGAUUCAACGCCGGACAUCUCACCGGAUAAGACAGCUGAAUGAUUGUCAAUCUGAAGGUUUUACAUGACUAGCUGAGAGGAGGUGCAUGGCCGUCGUCAGUUCGUACUGUGAAGCAUCCUGUUAAGUCAGGCAACGAGCGAGACCCACGCCGACAAUUGCCAGCAGCAUCUCCGGAUGGCUGGGGACAUUGUCGGGACCGCCUCUGCUAAAGAGGAGGAAGGAAUGGGCAACGGUAGGUCAGCAUGCCCCGAAUUAUCCGGGCUACACGCGGGCUACAAUGGACGGGACAAUGGGUAACAACACCGAAAGGUGCAGUCAAUCUCCUAACCCCGUCCUUAGUUAGGAUUGCGGGUUGCAACUCACCCGCAUGAAUCUGGAAUCUGUAGUAAUCGCGUUUCACUAUAGCGCGGUGAAUACGUCCCUGCUCCUUGCACACACCGCCCGUCAANNCAUCCUAGUGGGGUUUGGAUGAGUCCCUGGUCUU
Molecule: ribosomal RNA, 920 nt
Filed under: uncultured bacterium
Lineage: Bacteria
Description: bacterial SSU rRNA
Rfam family: Archaeal small subunit ribosomal RNA
Source: RNAcentral